AGUGAACGCUGGCGGUAGGCCUAACACAUGCAAGUCGAACGGCAGCACAGUAAGAGCUUGCUCUUACGGGUGGCGAGUGGCGGACGGGUGAGGAAUACAUCGGAAUCUACUUUUUCGUGGGGGAUAACGUAGGGAAACUUACGCUAAUACCGCAUACGACCUACGGGUGAAAGCAGGGGAUCUUCGGACCUUGCGCGAUUGAAUGAGCCGAUGUCGGAUUAGCUAGUGGGCGGGGUAAAGGCCCACCAAGGCGACGAUCCGUAGCUGGCCUGAGAGGAUGAUCAGCCACACUGGAACUGCGACAAGGUCCAGACUCCUACGGGAGGCAGCAGUAGGGAAUAUUGGACAAUGGGCGCGAGCCUGAUCCAGCCCUACCGCGUGGGUGAAGAAGGCCUUCGGGUUGUAAAGCCCUUUUGUUGGGAAAGAAAAGCAGCAGGUUAAUACCCCGCUGUUCUGACGGUACCCAAAGAAUAAGCACCGGCUAACUUCGUG
RNAcentral lists this ribosomal RNA (492 nucleotides) under uncultured bacterium. Its description in RNAcentral is "partial 16S ribosomal RNA". It matches the Rfam family "Bacterial small subunit ribosomal RNA", at positions 29 to 507 of the family's 1533-position model. The record is from RNAcentral.